Long non-coding RNA from Gallus gallus (chicken), 730 nucleotides. NCBI's taxonomy places the organism in Eukaryota, Metazoa, Chordata, Aves, Galliformes, Phasianidae. The record is from Ensembl.
GCGCGGUGUGCGGCUGCCAGAGGCUGCUCGGCGCCGGCCCCGCUGGCUGCCAGCGGCCGACUUUCCCCCGCACCUCCCCUUUUCCCUCGCGGAGAGACUGGGGGGCAGCGCAAAAAGCCCUUCCGAGCUCGGGAGUACCCGUGUCGACUGAGGGAGCCCCCGCCCUUAGCGGCACCCACGACUCUUAGCCUCUGGUACUGAGUCGGACUGAAGGCGGGAGUCCUAGCUGAAAGGAGCCGUCGAAACGCCUCCCGACCUAACCCCGUACACCAAACACGAGUAAAUGAGGCACGGACUGGUGUCUGCAGCACACCCCUCGGUAGAAGCAAAUCUGAGGAAGGAAUUCUGGGGUGAUUAUUGCUGCUUCUACUUUCUGAAGUGAGAUAGAUUGUAAAGCAGGUACAUCAAAGGCAGACGUCUCUAGAGUGCCAAAGAAGAAUGUAAAGCUGACUCUUUGGAAAACAGCCUGGGAUGAGAGCUGAGAGAUCAGGGCUGAAGCGGCUGUUCCAUGAAACACGGUUGUGCUGUUUCUCAGUCCUGUGUGGAACACUGGGCUGUUUCCAACCCUCUACAGAUUUCUUCCUGGAGUGGGCAACUUCAGCUGCUUCAGCAUGCCGCCAGGCAAGCCAAGAUUUUGGGCUCCUGAAAUUCUUGGAAUGAAGUUUUUAUUCAUAACCCAACCCAGUACAGAAGACUAGACAAACUUCCUCAAUUUGCACAGCUUAAGCAG